RNAcentral lists this ribosomal RNA (538 nucleotides) under uncultured bacterium. RNAcentral's name for it is "partial 16S ribosomal RNA". It matches the Rfam family "Bacterial small subunit ribosomal RNA", at positions 355 to 887 of the family's 1533-position model. The record is from RNAcentral.
UGGGGAAUUUUGGACAAUGGGGGAAACCCUGAUCCAGCCAUCCCGCGUGUGCGAUGAAGGCCUUCGGGUUGUAAAGCACUUUUGGCAGGAAAGAAACGUCGCGGGUUAAUACCCCGCGAAACUGACGGUACCUGCAGAAUAAGCACCGGCUAACUACGUGCCAGCAGCCGCGGUAAUACGUAGGGUGCAAGCGUUAAUCGGAAUUACUGGGCGUAAAGCGUGCGCAGGCGGUUCGGAAAGAAAGAUGUGAAAUCCCAGAGCUUAACUUUGGAACUGCAUUUUUAACUACCGGGCUAGAGUGUGUCAGAGGGAGGUGGAAUUCCGCGUGUAGCAGUGAAAUGCGUAGAUAUGCGGAGGAACACCGAUGGCGAAGGCAGCCUCCUGGGAUAACACUGACGCUCAUGCACGAAAGCGUGGGGAGCAAACAGGAUUAGAUACCCUGGUAGUCACGCCCUAAACGAUGUCAACUAGCUGUUGGGGCCUUCGGGCCUUGGUAGCGCAGCUAACGCGUGAAGUUGACCGCCUGGGGAGUACGGUC